GAACGCUUCUUUCCUCCCGAGUGCUUGCACUCAAUUGGAAAGAGGAGUGGCGGACGGGUGAGUAACACGUGGGUAACCUACCCAUCAGAGGGGGAUAACACUUGGAAACAGGUGCUAAUACCGCAUAACAGUUUAUGCCGCAUGGCAUAAGAGUGAAAGGCGCUUUCGGGUGUCGCUGAUGGAUGGACCCGCGGUGCAUUAGCUAGUUGGUGAGGUAACGGCUCACCAAGGCCACGAUGCAUAGCCGACCUGAGAGGGUGAUCGGCCACACUGGGACUGAGACACGGCCCAGACUCCUACGGGAGGCAGCAGUAGGGAAUCUUCGG
This 326-nucleotide ribosomal RNA is filed under the name Enterococcus faecalis. RNAcentral's name for it is "bacterial SSU rRNA". It matches the Rfam family "Bacterial small subunit ribosomal RNA", at positions 64 to 368 of the family's 1533-position model. The record is from RNAcentral. Lineage: Bacteria; Bacillati; Bacillota; Bacilli; Lactobacillales; Enterococcaceae.